Molecule: ribosomal RNA, 444 nt
Filed under: uncultured bacterium
Lineage: Bacteria
Description: bacterial SSU rRNA
Rfam family: Bacterial small subunit ribosomal RNA
Source: RNAcentral
UGGCUACAGAACGAACGCUGGCGGCAUGCCUAACACAUGCAAGUCGAAACGAGACCUUCGGGUCUAGUGGCGCACGGGUGCGUAACACGUGGGAAUUUGCCUCGGGGUAUGGAAUAACUCAGGGAAACUUGAGCUAAUACCAUAUAAUGUCUUCGGACCAAAGAUUUAUCGCCCUGAGAUAAGCCCGCGUAGGAUUAGCUAGUUGGUGGGGUAAAAGGCUCACCAAGGCGACGAUCCUUAGCUGGUCUGAGAGGAUGAUCAGCCACACUGGGACUGAGACACGGCCCAGACUCCUACGGGAGGCAGCAGUGGGGGAAUAUUGGACAAUGGGCGAAAGCCUGAUCCAGCAAUGCCGCGUGAGUGAUGAAGGCCUUCGGGUUGUAAAGCUCUUUACUCGGGACGAUAAUGACGGUACCGAGAGAAUAAGCCCCGGCUAACUCCGUG